Molecule: RNA transcript, 1502 nt
Organism: Aegilops tauschii subsp. strangulata
Lineage: Eukaryota; Viridiplantae; Streptophyta; Magnoliopsida; Poales; Poaceae
Source: RefSeq, a predicted model, not a curated record
CAUUCUCCCUUUCCCUUCCAUCGGCUCCUUCGUCCCCUCCCCCACCACUGCCGCGAGGUGCGAACCCGAUCUCGAUCCCCAUGGCGGCGGCCGCGCUCUCCUCCUCGCGGCGAGCCCUGCACACCGUCCAUCGCCACCUCCUCCUCCGCCCCUCCCCCUUCCCCUCCCCCCGCGCCCCUCCCCCACUCCCGUCCCCCGCCACUUCCCCGCCCCUCCCGCCCCCUCCUCCUCCCGCUUCUUCACCACCGCGCGCCCCGAGGCGAGGCCGCCGCGGCAUGACCUUCCGGCCCUGCCGCAGCAGCACAAGGCGGUGCAGCGGCUUGUGGGCGGGGUCAGGUCGUUCGCGAGCGGCGGCGGCGGCGGCGGGGCGAAGCUCGCCCCGCUCGGGCAGGGGGUGAGGGGGCUGGGGCGGCCGGUGGAGGCGGCCAAGAACGCCGCGGCGCGGUACCGGGAGGCCGUGGGGCUGCAGGUCGAGGCCUUCUGGCGGCGCAACUACCUGCUGCUCGUCGGCGCCGGAGGCGUCAUCGUCUGCAUCGCGCUCUGGCGGGUCAUGUUCGGCAUCGCCAGCACCUUCGUCGGCCUCUCCGAGGGCAUGGCCAAGUACGGCUUCCUCGCGCUCGCCACCGCCAUGGUCGCCUUCGCUGGUAUGUACGCACGUGCAAGGUUCACCAUAAAUCCUGACAAGGUUUACAGAAUUGCAAUGACAAAGCUCAAUACCUCUGCUGCAAUCCUUGAAGUCAUGGGUGCACCCUUAGCUGGCACUGAUGUCAGAGCAUAUGUUAUGUCUGGUGGAGGCCCUAAACUAAAGGACUUCAAAUUCAGGGUUGGUGGCAAACGGUGCUUUCUUAUCUUCCCCAUCAAAGGAUCAGAAAGAAAGGGUCUUGUAAGUGUUGAGGUCAAGAAGAAAAAAGGACAGUAUGACAUGAAGCUGCUUGCUGUUGACAUACCGAUGGCGACAGGGCCUGACCAGCGGCUAUUCCUUGUCGGCGACGAGCAGGAGUACAAGGUUGGUGGAGGCUUGAUAUCCGAGCUGCGGGAUCCUAUAGUGAAGGCUAUGGCUGCAGAAAAGGAGUUUGAUUAUCUUGAUGAAAGAGAGGACGCAGAGGAUGAGCGCAGGGAGCGAGAGGAGGCCGAGGAAGAGGCAGCCGAAGCGUUAAGGCGAGAGGAGGACAGAUUACGGGAGGAGGCGAAAGAGAGGCAGCGGCGAGAAGCUGAGAAUCUUGAGAAAGGCAGCUGACCCAAUUGACCCUACACCGCUUUUUUCUUCGUGUUGUGCAUUUCUCAACUUUACCUCCUCACUCUUACAAUGCGUAGCGAUCAGCAUUUUCGCGGCGACGGAAAGAUUGCGUCUGAGUUUCAGAGAGGCGGUUUCGCCUUUCACAGCGUGUCGAUAGGGUAAUAAAUUUUGGCUGCUCCUCAAAAUGGUUUACUCGGGAGCGCAUUGUGUAAUUUAGUGGCUGCAUGAAUGAAUGAUGGCUGUAGCCUGCCCUUUUUGGUGCCUA